UUGUGCCUCAUUGACAAACAAGACCCUGUUGGAGAUGUCAGCUCAGCUAUGGAGUUCUUGUGGCAGCUGAAAGUCAGUCUUUUUGUAAGUGAUGCUGAAAAUAUGUAGAAACUUUGGGUGCUGCAAGUCAACCAAACUACAAGUCCAUGCAGUUUCACAACAUUAAGAAACAUAAAAAAUAUAAGGGACAAAUUAAACAGAUGGUUUUUGAUUUUAGCAGAAUCAAUGCACCCAGUUCCUUGGCCCAGGCAGUGGUCAGCCUCACCCAGCGGUAGUAAGUCUCAAA
Vidua chalybeata is the source of this 286-nucleotide long non-coding RNA. RefSeq lists it as uncharacterized. Lineage: Eukaryota; Metazoa; Chordata; Aves; Passeriformes; Viduidae. The transcript has 3 exons. The record is from RefSeq and is a predicted model, not a curated record.